AACGCACAUUGCGCCCGGCAGUAAUCUGCCGGGCAUGCCUGUCCGAGCGUCAUUUCAACCCUCGAACCUCCGUUUCCUCAGGGAAGCUCAGGGUCGGUGUUGGGGCGCUACGGCGAGUCUUCGCGACCCUCCGUAGGCCCUGAAAUACAGUGGCGGUCCCGCCGCGGUUGCCUUCUGCGUAGUAAGUCUCUUUUUGCAAGCUCGCAUUGGGUCCCGGCGGAGGCCUGCCGUCAAACCACCUAUAACUCCAGAUGGGUUGACCUCGGAUCAGGUAGGAGUUACCCGCUGAACUUAA
RNAcentral lists this unclassified non-coding RNA (295 nucleotides) under uncultured Microascales. RNAcentral's name for it is "sequence contains 5.8S rRNA gene, ITS2, 28S rRNA gene". The record is from RNAcentral. Lineage: Eukaryota; Fungi; Ascomycota; Sordariomycetes; Microascales.